UAGAGGAAGUAAAAGUCGUAACAAGGUUUCCGUAGGUGAACCUGCGGAAGGAUCAUUAUUGAAAUAAACCUGAUGGGUUGUUGCUGGUUCUCUAGGGAGCAUGUGCACGCCUUGUCAUCUUUAUAUCUCCACCUGUGCACCUUUUGUAGAUCUUACAGGUCUAUGUUGCCCUUUCAUUUACACCAAUGUAUGUUAAUAGAAUGUUGUGACUAUAAAUAUAUACAACUUUCAGCAACGGAUCUCUUGGCUCUCGCAUCGAUGAAGAACGCAGCGAAAUGCGAUAAGUAAUGUGAAUUGCAGAAUUCAGUGAAUCAUCGAAUCUUUGAACGCACCUUGCGCUCCUUGGUAUUCCGAGGAGCAUGCCUGUUUGAGUGUCAUUAAUAUAUAUAUCAACCCUCUUUUGUUGAGUGGUUUGGAUGUGAGGGUUUGCUGGAUUAUUUAAAAAGUUCAGCUCCCUUGAAAUGCAUUAGCAGAACAAAACCCUCUUCAUUGGUGUGAUAACUAUCUACACUGUUGAAUGCAAGGGCCAGUUUAGCUUUCUAACGGUCCUUCUUGGACAAUUUAUCAUUUAUGUGACCUCAAAUCAGGUAGGACUACCCGCUGAACUUAAGCAUAUCAAUAAGCGGAGGAAAAGAAACUAACAAGGAUUCCCCUAGUAACUGCGAGUGAAGCGGGAAAAGCUCAAAUUUAAAAUCUGGCAGUCUUUUGGCUGUCCGAGUUGUAAUCUAGAGAAGUGUUAUCCGCGCUGGACCGUGUACAAGUCUCCUGGAAUGGAGCAUCAUAGAGGGUGAGAAUCCCGUCUUUGACAUGGACUGCCAGGGCUUUGUGAUGCGCUCUCAAAGAGUCGAGUUGUUUGGGAAUGCAGCUCAAAAUGGGUGGUAAAUUCCAUCUAAAGCUAAAUAUUGGCGAGAGACCGAUAGCGAACAAGUACCGUGAGGGAAAGAUGAAAAGAACUUUGGAAAGAGAGUUAAACAGUACGUGAAAUUGCUGAAAGGGAAACGCUUGAAGUCAGUCACGUCGUCCAGGGAUCAACCUUGCUUUUGCUUGGUGCACUUUCUGGUUUGACGGGUCAGCAUCAAUUUUGACUAUUGGAAAAAGGUUAAGGGAAUGUGGCAUCUUUGGAUGUGUUUAUAGCCCUUGGUCACAUACAAUGGUUGGGAUUGAGGAACUCAGCACGCCGCAAGGCCGGGUUUUAAACCACGUACGUGCUUAGGG
Molecule: ribosomal RNA, 1215 nt
Filed under: uncultured Cortinarius
Lineage: Eukaryota; Fungi; Basidiomycota; Agaricomycetes; Agaricales; Cortinariaceae
Description: eukaryotic LSU rRNA
Rfam family: Eukaryotic large subunit ribosomal RNA (bases 574-1215)
Source: RNAcentral